UACGUAGGGGGCAAGCGUUGUCCGGAAUCAUUGGGCGUAAAGAGCGUGUAGGCGGUCCGAUAAGUCCGCUCUGAAAGCCCGGGGCUCAACCCCGGGAGGCGGGCGGAUACUGUCGGGCUAGAGUCCGGAAGAGGCAAGUGGAAUUCCUGGUGUAGCGGUGAAAUGCGCAGAUAUCAGGAGGAACACCGAUGGCGAAGGCGGCAUCCUGGACCGACACUGACGCUGAGGCGCGAAAGCUAGGGUAGCAAACGGG
Molecule: ribosomal RNA, 253 nt
Filed under: uncultured bacterium
Lineage: Bacteria
Description: partial 16S ribosomal RNA
Rfam family: Bacterial small subunit ribosomal RNA
Source: RNAcentral